GCAUAUGGCCAUACCACCCUGAACAUGCCUUCAGAAGCUAAGCAGGGUUGGGCCUGGUUAGUACUUGGAUGGGAGACUGCCUGAGAAUACCGGGAGCUAUAGGCU
Molecule: ribosomal RNA, 105 nt
Organism: Anolis carolinensis (green anole)
Lineage: Eukaryota; Metazoa; Chordata; Lepidosauria; Squamata; Anolidae
Source: Ensembl